This 253-nucleotide ribosomal RNA is filed under the name uncultured bacterium. RNAcentral's name for it is "partial 16S ribosomal RNA". It matches the Rfam family "Bacterial small subunit ribosomal RNA", at positions 524 to 776 of the family's 1533-position model. The record is from RNAcentral.
UACGUAGGGUGCAAGCGUUGUCCGGAAUUAUUGGGCGUAAAGAGCUCGUAGGCGGUUUGUCGCGUCUGCUGUGAAAACUCAGGGCUUAACCCUGAGCCUGCAGUGGGUACGGGCAGACUAGAGUGUGGUAGGGGAGAUCGGAAUUCCUGGUGUAGCGGUGAAAUGCGUAGAUAUCGGGAGGAACACCUGUGGCGAAAGCGGCUCACUGGACCACAACUGACGCUGAGGCGCGAAAGCUAGGGGAGCAAACAGG